This 668-nucleotide ribosomal RNA is filed under the name uncultured Bacteroidales bacterium. RNAcentral's name for it is "bacterial SSU rRNA". It matches the Rfam family "Bacterial small subunit ribosomal RNA", at positions 46 to 703 of the family's 1533-position model. Lineage: Bacteria; Pseudomonadati; Bacteroidota; Bacteroidia; Bacteroidales. The record is from RNAcentral.
GCUUAACACAUGCAAGUCGAGGGGCAGCAUGGUCUUAGCUUGCUAAGGCCGAUGGCGACCGGCGCACGGGUGAGUAACACGUAUCCAACCUGCCGUCUACUCUUGGACAGCCUUCUGAAAGGAAGAUUAAUACAAGAUGGCAUCAUGAGUCCGCAUGUUCACAUGAUUAAAGGUAUUCCGGUAGACGAUGGGGAUGCGUUCCAUUAGAUAGUAGGCGGGGUAACGGCCCACCUAGUCUUCGAUGGAUAGGGGUUCUGAGAGGAAGGUCCCCCACAUUGGAACUGAGACACGGUCCAAACUCCUACGGGAGGCAGCAGUGAGGAAUAUUGGUCAAUGGGCGAGAGCCUGAACCAGCCAAGUAGCGUGAAGGAUGACUGCCCUAUGGGUUGUAAACUUCUUUUAUAAAGGAAUAAAGUCGGGUAUGGAUACCCGUUUGCAUGUACUUUAUGAAUAAGGAUCGGCUAACUCCGUGCCAGCAGCCGCGGUAAUACGGAGGAUCCGAGCGUUAUCCGGAUUUAUUGGGUUUAAAGGGAGCGUAGAUGGAUGUUUAAGUCAGUUGUGAAAGUUUGCGGCUCAACCGUAAAAUUGUAGUUGAUACUGGAUAUCUUGAGUGCAGUUGAGGCAGGCGGAAUUCGUGGUGUAGCGGUGAAAUGCUUAGAUAUCACGAA